UACGUAAUUUUAAAGUUUAUGAUUUUGAAAGAAUUGUCUUAAAGUUAAGUAAAAGAGAAAGAUAUUAUAAUUAAUAAAUAUCCGAAGGGGUAGCAAGAAAUAAAUAAAAGAAGGGUUUAUCCCGUACUUUUUGUAUCAUGGUCUUAGAAGGGUAAUACCUUUAUGGUUUUUCCUGAAAGGUUGGGAUCUACUUAAUUUAGUGUCUUUAUUGUUAUAUAACUAAAGUGUGAGAGUUAAGUAGUAAUGAUAUGUUGUCGCACAACCUGAUAUCUGGUUGUUGGGAAAAAAUGUUUAGCAUUGGUUUAAGAAUUGAAGAGUAUGAAAUUUAUUCAUAUUUCUUUUUACUUUUACUCAGGCCCUUUCGGUUAAGCGGUAGGGCAGCUAUGAACUUAUUUAAGGAGAAGAAGGGUUUAUAUUUCCUAUCUUUGAAGUUUUUUAUAAACUAACCUUUAAGUAUUUGAAUAAAUUUUAUACCCAACUAAUAAUGUUAACAAAACGUUUUUAAUUAGCUUAGAAUUAGUAGAUUUUAUAAAUUAUUAGUUUUUAUCUUAUAAUUUAACUAGCUUAUGUUGUUGAUAAAGUAAUUUUUUUUGAGGAACUCGGCAAAUAUACCCUGCGCCUGUUUACCAAAAACAUCUCCCCCCGCAGAUUGGAAUUGGGGGUAGUCCCUGCCCAGUGGUAAAUGUCUAAACGGAAAGGAUAAUUUUUAAAGUAGCGUAAUAAUUUGUCCCUUAAUUAGGGUCUGAAUGAAUGGGUUGACGUGGGGUGGCUGUCUUAAAAGAAGUUUAUUUAAAUUUCCUUCUUAGUGAAAAGCCUGAGAUAAGCUUAAAAGACGAGAAGACCCCGUCGAGCUUAAGAGGAAAAAUAGUAAUUACUUUUUUUUUCAGUUUUAUUGGGGCAAUAAAGGAGAAGAAUAAACCUCCAGUUUUUGUUAUUGAUCCAUCUGUUGAUGAUAAUAAGAAAAAGUUACCGCGGGGAUAACAGCGCAAGACGACCAGAGAGUUCUUAUCUAAGGCCGUAAGUGCGACCUCGAUGUUGGAUUAGGGUAGACUUAAGGGUGCAGCAGCUCUUAAAGUGGGACUGUUCGUCCUUUAAAUCCCUACAUGAUCUGAGUUAAAACCGGCGUGAGCUAGGUUGGUUUCUAUCUUUAAAUUAAUUUUCUCUUUGUACGAAAGGAUCGGAGGUAUAAAUACAAUUUGUUUUUAGAGAAAUCUAAUU
Molecule: ribosomal RNA, 1218 nt
Filed under: Fulvia mutica
Lineage: Eukaryota; Metazoa; Mollusca; Bivalvia; Cardiida; Cardiidae
Description: large subunit ribosomal RNA
Rfam family: Archaeal large subunit ribosomal RNA (bases 557-1218)
Source: RNAcentral